RNAcentral lists this ribosomal RNA (468 nucleotides) under uncultured bacterium. RNAcentral describes it as "partial 16S ribosomal RNA". It matches the Rfam family "Bacterial small subunit ribosomal RNA", at positions 28 to 507 of the family's 1533-position model. The record is from RNAcentral.
GACGAACGCUGGCGGCGUGCUUAACACAUGCAAGUCGAACGGAAAGGCCCUGCUUUUGUGGGGUGCUCGAGUGGCGAACGGGUGAGUAACACGUGAGUAACCUGCCCUUGACUUUGGGAUAACUUCAGGAAACUGGGGCUAAUACCGGAUAGGAGCUCCUGCUGCAUGGUGGGGGCUGGAAAGUUUCGGCGGUUGGGGAUGGACUCGCGGCUUAUCAGCUUGUUGGUGGGGUAGUGGCUUACCAAGGCUUUGCAGGGUAGCCGGCCUGGGAGGGUGACCGGCCACAUUGGGACUGAGAUACGGCCCAGACUCCUACGGGAGGCAGCAGUGGGGAAGAUUGCACAAUGGGCGGAAGCCUGAUGCAGCAACGCCGCGUGCGGGAUGACGGCCUUCGGGUUGUAAACCGCUUUCGCCUGUGACGAAGCGUGAGUGACGGUAAUGGGUAAAGAAGCACCGGCUAACUACGUG